This 497-nucleotide ribosomal RNA is filed under the name uncultured bacterium. Its description in RNAcentral is "partial 16S ribosomal RNA". It matches the Rfam family "Bacterial small subunit ribosomal RNA", at positions 28 to 507 of the family's 1533-position model. The record is from RNAcentral.
GAUGAACGCUGGCGGCGUGCCUAAUACAUGCAAGUCGAGCGAACAGACGAGGAGCUUGCUCCUCUGACGUUAGCGGCGGACGGGUGAGUAACACGUGGAUAACCUACCUAUAAGACUGGGAUAACUUCGGGAAACCGGAGCUAAUACCGGAUAAUAUAUUGAACCGCAUGGUUCAAUAGUGAAAGACGGUUUUGCUGUCACUUAUCGAUGGAUCCGCGCCGCAUUAGCUAGUUGGUAAGGUAACGGCUUACCAAGGCAACGAUGCGUAGCCGACCUGAGGGGGGGGUCGGCCACACUGGAACUGAGACACGGUCCAGGCUCCUACGGGAGGCAGCAGUAGGGAAUCUUCCGCAAUGGGCGAAAGCCUGACGGAGCAACGCCGCGUGAGUGAUGAAGGUCUUCGGAUCGUAAAACUCUGUUAUUAGGGAAGAACAAAUGUGUAAGUAACUAUGCACGUCUUGACGGUACCUAAUCAGAAAGCCACGGCUAACUACGUG